AUCCCUGUUGAUCCACCCGCUUAUUUUGCAACGCCCACUUUCAGACACCAAGUCUACAGUUAACCAAACAUUGUACCGUUUCGUUGUUGCUGGCAAAAAAAUACAUAUAGAAAGCGCAAAGAACUUUGCGGCCAGUAUCUUAACAUUUUAAUCAAUUAACUAUCAUUUACACCUACAUCAUUUUUUAAUACAUUUCCAAGGACCUGAGCCCUAGGACCACCUGGCAUGAUGACUCCCUGCUGUCCCCAGUCCACCUGGCCGUGCUGCUGCUCCAGUUUCAACUGUUCUGCCUGCGGCUAUGGAAUCCUGACCUGUUCACCGGACAUGCUACCUGUCCCAGACCUGCUGUUUUCAAAUCUGUAGAGACAGCAGGAGUGGUAGAGAUACUCUUAAUGAUCGUCUAUGAAACGCCAACUGACAUUUACUCUUGAGGUGCUGACUUGCUGCACCCUCGACAAGUACUGUGAUUAUUGUUAUUUGACCAUGCUGGUCAUUUAUGAACAUUUGAACAUCUUGGCCAUGUUCUGUUAUAAUUUCCACCCGGCACAGCCAGAAGAGGACUGGCCACCCCUCAUAGCCUGGUUCCUCUCUAGGUUUCUUCCUAGGUUUUGGCCUUUCUAGGGAGUUUUUCCUAGCCACUGUGCUUCUACACCUGCAUUGCUUGCUGUUUGGGGUUUUAGGCUGGGUAUCUGUACAGCACUUUGAGAUAUCAGCUUAUGUACGAAGGGCUAUAUAAAUAUAUUUGAUUUGAUUUGA
Molecule: long non-coding RNA, 756 nt
Organism: Oncorhynchus nerka (sockeye salmon)
Lineage: Eukaryota; Metazoa; Chordata; Actinopteri; Salmoniformes; Salmonidae
Exons: 2
Source: RefSeq, a predicted model, not a curated record